GGCUCUGUGGCGCAAUGGAUAGCGCAUUGGACUUCUAAUUCAAAGGUUGUGGGUUCGAGUCCCGCCAGAGUCG
This 73-nucleotide transfer RNA is filed under the name Xenopus tropicalis (tropical clawed frog). RNAcentral's name for it is "tRNA-Arg (TCT) (tRNA-Arg-TCT-7-1)". It matches the Rfam family "tRNA". From Rfam's summary of the family: Transfer RNA (tRNA) molecules are approximately 80 nucleotides in length. Their secondary structure includes four short double-helical elements and three loops (D, anti-codon, and T loops). The record is from RNAcentral. RNAcentral also lists the same sequence under 2 other names. Lineage: Eukaryota; Metazoa; Chordata; Amphibia; Anura; Pipidae.